RNAcentral lists this ribosomal RNA (262 nucleotides) under uncultured bacterium. Its description in RNAcentral is "partial 16S ribosomal RNA". It matches the Rfam family "Bacterial small subunit ribosomal RNA", at positions 526 to 779 of the family's 1533-position model. The record is from RNAcentral.
CGGAGGGGCGUAGCGUUGUUCGGAAUUAACUGGGCGUAAAGACGCACGUAGGCGGACUGGAAAGUACAGAGGUGAAAUACCCAGGGCUCAACCUUGGAACUGCCUUUGAAACUAAUCAGUCUGGAGUUCGAGAGAGGUGAGUGGAAUUCCGAGUGUAGAGGUGAAAUUACGUAGAUAUUCGGAGGAACACCAGUGGCGAAGGCGGCUCACUGGCUCGAUACUGACGCUGAGGUGCGAAAGCGUGGGGGAGGCAAACAGGAUU